AAAAAUUUAAGUUAAAAAAACUAUAGACCUUCAAAGUCUAAAAUAGAACAUAUCUAAUUUUUA
This 63-nucleotide transfer RNA is filed under the name Curculionoidea sp. 27 KM-2017. RNAcentral describes it as "tRNA-Trp". The record is from RNAcentral. Lineage: Eukaryota; Metazoa; Arthropoda; Insecta; Coleoptera.